RNAcentral lists this ribosomal RNA (253 nucleotides) under uncultured bacterium. Its description in RNAcentral is "partial 16S ribosomal RNA". It matches the Rfam family "Bacterial small subunit ribosomal RNA", at positions 524 to 776 of the family's 1533-position model. The record is from RNAcentral.
UACGUAGGGUGCGAGCGUUGUCCGGAAUUAUUGGGCGUAAAGGGCUCGUAGGCGGUUUGUCACGUCGGGAGUGAAAACUCGGGGCUUAACCCCGAGCCUGCUUCCGAUACGGGCAGACUAGAGGUAUGCAGGGGAGAACGGAAUUCCUGGUGUAGCGGUGAAAUGCGCAGAUAUCAGGAAGAACACCGGUGGCGAAGGCGGUUCUCUGGGCAUUACCUAACGCUGAGGAGCGAAAGUGUGGGGAGCGAACAGG